This 107-nucleotide small nucleolar RNA is filed under the name Beta vulgaris subsp. vulgaris (sugar beet). RNAcentral describes it as "Plant small nucleolar RNA R71". It matches the Rfam family "Plant small nucleolar RNA R71". Rfam says of the family: R71 is a member of the C/D box family of snoRNAs containing the C (UGAUGA) and D (CUGA) box motifs. Multiple nearly identical copies of this snoRNA have been identified in Arabidopsis, and it is thought to function as a 2'-O-ribose methylation guide for 18S ribosomal RNA. Lineage: Eukaryota; Viridiplantae; Streptophyta; Magnoliopsida; Caryophyllales; Amaranthaceae. The record is from Rfam by way of RNAcentral.
AUGCCAUGGUGUGGACACUGCCUUUUCAGAGCCUUGUAUCUCUGCCAUGCUACGUAAAGAGACUCCAAUUCAUGUUGUUGAAAACCAGGUAUCUCACUUCUGAACUU